GAUGAAGAACGCAGCGAAAUGCGAUAAGUAAUGUGAAUUGCAGAAUUCAGUGAAUCAUCGAAUCUUUGAACGCACAUUGCGCCCCCUGGUAUUCCGGGGGGCAUGCCUGUUCGAGCGUCAUUUCACCACUCAAGCCUCGCUUGGUAUUGGGCAACGCGGUCCGCCGCGUGCCUCAAAUCGACCGGCUGGGUCUUCUGUCCCCUAAGCGUUGUGGAAACUAUUCGCUAAAGGGUGUUCGGGAGGCUACGCCGUAAAACAACCCCAUUUCUAAGGUUGACCUCGGAUCAGGUAGGGAUACCCGCUGAACUUAAGCAUAUCAUAGCGGAGGA
Molecule: unclassified non-coding RNA, 329 nt
Filed under: soil metagenome
Description: partial contains 5.8S ribosomal RNA, internal transcribed spacer 2, and large subunit ribosomal RNA
Rfam family: 5.8S ribosomal RNA (bases 1-120)
Source: RNAcentral